Notothenia coriiceps (black rockcod) is the source of this 257-nucleotide long non-coding RNA. RefSeq lists it as uncharacterized. Lineage: Eukaryota; Metazoa; Chordata; Actinopteri; Perciformes; Nototheniidae. The record is from RefSeq and is a predicted model, not a curated record. The transcript is spliced from 3 exons.
GGGCAGGUCUGCGCUUCACGGUGCCACGGCUGAAGGACACACACAAAACGGUUCAGUUUGAGCUGCAGAUCCGCAGUAAAAACGAGAAUAACUCCCACAGUGAGGUUGUGCCGUAUAAACUGGAGGUGGAGGUUCAGGCUGACGUCAUUCUGCAGGGCGUUUCCCGGCCUGAUAAGGUCUUCUUCCCGCCAGUCAACUGGAAGCUGACCAAGAACUACGAGGUGGAGCAGGACGUGGGGCCACCAGUGGAGCACAUC